This 78-nucleotide small RNA is filed under the name Flavobacterium glaciei. Its description in RNAcentral is "Flavo-1 RNA". It matches the Rfam family "Flavo-1 RNA". Lineage: Bacteria; Pseudomonadati; Bacteroidota; Flavobacteriia; Flavobacteriales; Flavobacteriaceae. The record is from RNAcentral.
ACCUAGCCCCGAUACUAGCGGCAUCCUUUGUGUUUUUUCUUUAAAAACACAAAGAUAUAGCGGAUAGCGGGAAAUAGC